Molecule: long non-coding RNA, 1357 nt
Filed under: Piliocolobus tephrosceles (Ugandan red Colobus)
Lineage: Eukaryota; Metazoa; Chordata; Mammalia; Primates; Cercopithecidae
Description: lncRNA (ENSPTEG00000007510.1)
Source: RNAcentral
AUGGAAAUAUAAAUGAAAAAAUAGCAGAAAAUGGAAAUAUAAAUGAAAAAAAAAAAGUAAACGACAAUGUCGCUACGAGUGAUGCAAAUGAUGUGGGUGUUGCAAAUGGUCCGAAUGGUCCGAAUGGUCCGAAUGGUCCGAAUGAUGCGAGUGAUGCGAAUGGCCCGAAUGGCCCGAAUGACAAUAAAAAUAAUAAACGAAAACGAAUGGCACAUGAUACAAUCAAAGAGAUGUUCAUACGAGACGUCAAUAACCCAGAGAGACCAUGGAAUAGUCAAUACACAACUGAAAAAAUGACAAGUACAAAAAUCAUUAAAAAGCAUUACCCCUGUAACAAUUUGAGUAAUGGUCAGGUAAGCAUAGGCUGGAGAGGAUGUAGAUGGAAUGAUUUUAAAACAAAAACAGCUUUAAUAAUGUUAGGCAUUUAUUUAACUGAUUCUACUACAUCACCUAUAAGUAAGAAGUUAAUGGAUGACCCAUAUAACACAUAUUGUAGUAGUGUUGAAUUCACAUUAGACGAUUUAAAAGAAAAUUAUUUUUCUAUUGAUAUUUACGAUGUUAUUUUUAAAGAAGAGUCUAAUCAUAGAAAUCAUAAGAAUGUGGAUGAUAGUCAGAAGAAUGAACAUGUUGAACAUAUUGGAUCUUGUAUACCCAAUGUCGUAAAAAAUGGAUUCUCAAUAGAUAGUAAUAAUACCAACAAUAGUGAGAUAGUUAACAUAUCUACAUAUGACAAUAACAAAUUAGAUAAAACAAUACUCCCUUGUAAUAACAACAAUGAGAUAUCUACUGACAAAACAAAAAUGGAUUUAGUAGGACAAUUAACCAGAGAUUGUAUAAAAGAAGUACAUCAAAAUGCACUGAACAUGAAUCAAUUAAAAAAUAUAAUUUUCAGAUCCUACUUACAAUACCUUGAAAAUUUAGAAACAACACCACAAGAGGUACUAAACAAAUAUUUAAUAACAUAUUUUAUAUAUGGUAAAAAUAUAACUGAUUUUAAUGAAUGUUUGGAUCAAAAACAUACAUAUCAAAGCUUGUUAAAUGAAAAUGAACAAUAUUGGAAAAAUUUAUUAGAAUCUUAUUUUUUAAAGAAUCCAUUUGUUGAGGUAAGAUGCUACCCAAGUAUUAGAAGAUCAAAACAACUUGAAAAUUUUGAAAAAUGGUUAAUGCAAAAAGAAAAAAUAUAUUAUGGUGAAGAGAAAAUAAGAAGAAUGGUUCAGUAUAUUGAAAAUAUAAAAAAUGGUUCAUAUGAUAUAGCUUAUGACUAUUUACAAUCGAAUAUACCACCCGCAGAUCCAAAAAAUGUAAUACUAGAUAAAAUAAUGAUUGUAAGAAAUUUUGGCACUGCAUCUGUCGGUGA